CCUACGGGUGGCAGCAGUGGGGAAUAUUGGACAAUGGGCGAAAGCCUGAUGCAGCCAUGCCGCGUGUGUGAAGAAGGCCUUCGGGUUGUAAAGCACUUUCAGCGGGGAGGAAGGCGGUGAGGUUAAUAACCUCAUCGAUUGACGUUACCCGCAGAAGAAGCACCGGCUAACUCCGUGCCAGCAGCCGCGGUAAUACGGAGGGUGCAAGCGUUAAUCGGAAUUACUGGGCGUAAGGCGCACGCAGGCGGUCUGUCAAGUCGGAUGUGAAAUCCCCGGGCUCAACCUGGGAACUGCAUUCGAAACUGGCAGGCUAGAGUCUUGUAGAGGGGGGUAGAAUUCCAGGUGUAGCGGUGAAAUGCGUAGAGAUCUGGAGGAAUACCGGUGGCGAAGGCGGCCCCCUGGACAAAGACUGACGCUCAGGUGCGAAAGCGUGGGGAGCAAACAGGAUUAGAUACCCGGGUAGUC
RNAcentral lists this ribosomal RNA (465 nucleotides) under uncultured Klebsiella sp. RNAcentral's name for it is "bacterial SSU rRNA". It matches the Rfam family "Bacterial small subunit ribosomal RNA", at positions 338 to 795 of the family's 1533-position model. The record is from RNAcentral. Lineage: Bacteria; Pseudomonadati; Pseudomonadota; Gammaproteobacteria; Enterobacterales; Enterobacteriaceae.